UGUGGUCAAGUUUCUAAGAGCAAACGGUGGAUGCCUUGGCAUCUGGAGCCGAAGAAGGACGUAGAAAUCUGCGAUAAGCCUCGGGGAGCUGAUAAUCGAGCCCUGAUCCGAGGAUUUCCGAAUGGGGAAACCCCGCUGGGCGCUUUUGUGACCUGGUGACUCCCGCCUGAAUAUAUAGGGCGGGUAGAGGGAACGUGGGGAAGUGAAACAUCUCAGUACCCACAGGAAGAGAAAACAACAUGUGAUUCCGUGAGUAGUGGCGAGCGAAAGCGGAUGAGGCUAAACCGAUCAUGUGUGAUAGCCGGCGGGCGUUGCAUGGUCGGGGUUGUGGGACACGUCACUCAGUUCUGCCGGACUGGGGCGGUUACAGCGCAUCAUAGUCGAACCGGUUUGAAAGCCGGGCCGUAGUGGGUGCCAGCCCCGUAGACGAAAUGGUGUUAUGGCCGGAUGUGUAUCCCAAGUAGCACGGGGCCCGAGAAAUCCCGUGUGAAUCUGUCAGGACCACCUGAUAAGCCUAAAUACUCCCAGAUGACCGAUAGCGGACAAGUACCGUGAGGGAAAGGUGAAAAGUACCCCGGGAGGGGAGUGAAAUAGUACCUGAAACCGUUUGCUUACAAACCGUCGGAGCCUCCUUAGUAGGGGUGACGGCGUGCCUUUUGAAGAAUGAGCCUGCGAGUUAGUGAUAUGUGGCGAGGUUAACCCGUGUGGGGCAGCCGUAGCGAAAGCGAGUCUGAAUAGGGCGUUUGAGUCGCAUGUUCUAGACCCGAAGCGAAGUGAUCUAUCCAUGGCCAGGUUGAAGCGACGGUAAGACGUCGUGGAGGACCGAACCCACUUCAGUUGAAAAUGGAGGGGAUGAGCUGUGGAUAGGGGUGAAAGGCCAAUCAAACUUCGUGAUAGCUGGUUCUCUCCGAAAUGCAUUUAGGUGCAGCGUUGCGUGUUUCUCGCCGGAGGUAGAGCUACUGGAUGGCCGAUGGGCCUCAACAGGUUACUGACGUCAGCCAAACUCCGAAUGCCGGUGAGUGAGAGCGCAGCAGUGAGACGGUGGGGGAUAAGCUUCAUCGUCGAGAGGGAAACAACCCAGACUACCAACUAAGGUCCCUAAGCGUGUGCUAAGUGGGAAAGGAUGUGGAGUUGCAUAGACAACCAGGAGGUUGGCUUAGAAGCAGCCACCCUUGAAAGAGUGCGUAAUAGCUCACUGGUCAAGUGAUUCCGCGCCGACAAUGUAACGGGGCUCAAGCACACCACCGAAGUUGUAGAUUUCGCACACUCGACAAGCCUUCGUGGUUCAGUCGUGCGGAGUGGUAGGAGAGCGUCGUGUGGCGAGUGAAGCGGCGGAGUGAUCCAGCCGUGGACGCUACACGAGUGAGAAUGCAGGCAUGAGUAGCGAAAGACGGGUGAGAAACCCGUCCUCCGAAAGACCAAGGGUUCCAGGGCCAGGUUAAUCCGCCCUGGGUAAGUCGGGACCUAAGGCGAGGCCGACAGGCGUAGUCGAUGGACAACGGGUUGAUAUUCCCGUACCGGCGAACAACCGCCCAAGCUAAUCCAGUGGUGCUAAGAGUCCUAACCCGGAUCAACCGGAUCCCUUCGGGGUGAUGGUGGCCGGUCUAACGCUCGACCCCAUGCUGGUGCGGUUAGCGUAUGAACAGGUGUGACGCAGGAAGGUAGCUGAGCCAGGCGAUGGUAUCCGUAAGGUGAACCUGGUGUAAGGAUGUAGGGCUGACGAUAGGCAAAUCCGUCGUCUGU
This 1743-nucleotide ribosomal RNA is filed under the name Curtobacterium sp. PhB141. Its description in RNAcentral is "bacterial LSU rRNA". It matches the Rfam family "Bacterial large subunit ribosomal RNA", at positions 1 to 1552 of the family's 2925-position model. Lineage: Bacteria; Bacillati; Actinomycetota; Actinomycetes; Micrococcales; Microbacteriaceae. The record is from RNAcentral.